CUUUAAUUCUUGGGAAGAAAUCAAGCAAGCACUCUGAAAGCCCCCUAGACCCUAUUUCCACACGUAUCUCCCUUUUUGUUUCUCUGGUUGCUCUCAUCAUUUGAGUCCCCUCUGCUCCCCAUUUGUCCAUCUAUCUCAGUCACCAAAUAUUAGCACUCACUGUGAUGAGUUGUUUGGUAACAUCAUGGUAUAUAUAGAGCACGUUGUUUAAUCACGCCUUUAAAGUUUGUGGCUGUCGUGUAGUAUUAGGUAAGUGGUGCUGGUGACAAGUGUGCCAUAGAUUCACAAUCGCUGCCCUGGAGGGUGUAUUGAAUGUUGCUUCUGUAGUAUUACAGAGAGCCUGUUGGGUUUUUCAGGAAUACGUUCAUUUUUCACAUCUCCAAUUCCUCUCUUGGGAUUGAGACCUCAGUAUUUUAUAAUCCACUGGAGGAUUUUGAAAGGUUGAUUUUAGC
This is a non-coding RNA of Pelobates cultripes (western spadefoot toad), 452 nucleotides long. Lineage: Eukaryota; Metazoa; Chordata; Amphibia; Anura; Pelobatidae. The record is from the annotation of a GenBank genome assembly.